UACGUAGGGUGCGAGCGUUGUCCGGAAUUAUUGGGCGUAAAGAGCUUGUAGGCGGUUUGUCGCGUCUGCUGUGAAAUCUCAAGGCUCAACCUUGAGCUUGCAGUGGGUACGGGCAGACUAGAGUGUGGUAGGGGAGACUGGAAUUCCUGGUGUAGCGGUGAAAUGCGUAGAGAUCGGGAGGAACACCAGAGGCGAAAGCGGCGACCUGGACAGGUACUGACACUCAACUACGAAAGCGUGGGGAGCAAACAGG
RNAcentral lists this ribosomal RNA (253 nucleotides) under uncultured bacterium. RNAcentral describes it as "partial 16S ribosomal RNA". It matches the Rfam family "Bacterial small subunit ribosomal RNA", at positions 524 to 776 of the family's 1533-position model. The record is from RNAcentral.